UUACCUAGUGAGGAAAUGCUUACAGUGUAAUCAAGUGAAAAAAAGGGGGAAGAAAACCAUUUUUUAUAUACAUAUAUUCCAAUUCCAAUUUAGAGAGAAGGAAAACGCAGCACAGACAAGUCCCUAUAUACACACGUCUAUAUCGAUGACCGAAAAUACUGGGAGGAAAUCCACCCAAGAGGGACAAGACUGCCCUCCCUACGACUGAGCCUUGUCUAUCUGGCGUCUCCAGUGCCCAUCUUCACAGCUAACACUGGGCAGGGGCUGAUGGAAUAACUGAAUGUGAACGUUCUUCCUGUGGCUCUGGAUCGGUGUGGGGUGCCACUGGAGCCCCCAUCUCCCCACCUCCCCUGCGGGGUCCCCAUGGUCGCCUCACCCAGCAGCUCGAUGGCCUUAGUGGUCCCAUACACGUCCAUCACGG
This 421-nucleotide long non-coding RNA is filed under the name Homo sapiens (human). Its description in RNAcentral is "HSALNT0035964". The record is from RNAcentral. Lineage: Eukaryota; Metazoa; Chordata; Mammalia; Primates; Hominidae.